AUGGUAUUUCUGCUUUUCACCCUCGCCUGCCCAGAAAAACCUGGACUGAUAUUUGGCGAUCUCCUGAUGGAGAGUCUCAUGAAGGCUGUAGAAGCUCAUGAGAAACCAAAGGAGGCUGGCAAGCGAGGAGUUGAUGAGGAUCACCCUGGCCGCCUUCGAGAGCCACCUCCCCUUCCAAGGCUCCACCCGGUGCUGCAUCCGAGUCACUGCCGGGCACAGGACAGCUACGGUGAGUCGCGAGUCACUAAUGGGUAUCCCCAAAUAAGUCGUGGGGAAAGUACCCAACCGACAGUUCAGACGGUCGGCCAUGGCUUGGGCCUCCUCACGGGAGUAGCCCAGAAUCAUCACUUCGCUCUUAUCAAAGUUGAUGGUGAGCCCGGACAUCUGUUGGAAGGAUGGGAGGAGGAACUUCAGGUUGGCUAUGUCGGACACGGAGCCCUCCACCAUUAUUAUGGUAUCGUCUGCAUAUUGUAG
This 474-nucleotide ribosomal RNA is filed under the name Triticum aestivum (bread wheat). Its description in RNAcentral is "partial small subunit ribosomal RNA". The record is from RNAcentral. Lineage: Eukaryota; Viridiplantae; Streptophyta; Magnoliopsida; Poales; Poaceae.